GUAAAAUAAACAUAGAUGAGCAGCAAGUUGGCAUGGUACCCAAAGUGCCAACCAUUCCAGUAUUGAAGUCCAAAAAGGUCUUCUUGGAAUCACAGGUCCGGGCCCGACAGAACCAAAGGAGCAACAAAGAGAAACCCGGAUUCCUCAUUUCAUUUCAUCAGUGAUGAAAGUAAAAUAAACAUAGAUGAGCAGCAAGUUGGCAUGGUAGCCAAAGUGCCAACCAUUCCAGUUUUGAAGUCCAAAAAGGUCUUCUUGGAAUCACAGGUCCGGGCCCGACAGAACCAAAGGAGCAACAAAGAGAAACCCGGAUUCCUCAUUUCAUUUCAUCAGUGAUGAAAGUAAAAUAAACAUAGAUGAGCAGCAAGUUGGCAUAGUAGCCAAAGUGCCAACCAUUCCAGUAUUGAAGUCCAAAAAGGUCUUCUUGGAAUCACAGGUCCGGGCCCGACAGAACCAAAGGAACAACAAAGAGAAACCCGGAUUCCUCAUUUCAUUUCAUCAGUGAUGAAAGUAAAAUAAACAUAGAUGAGCAGCAAGUUGGCAUAGUAGCCAAAGUGCCAACCAUUCCAGUAUUGAAGUCCAAAAAGGUCUUCUUGGAAUCACAGGUCCGGGCCCGACAGAACCAAAGGAGCAACAAAGAGAAACCCGGAUUCCUCAUUUCAUUUCAUCAGUGAUGAAAGUAAAAUAAACAUAGAUGAGCAGCAAGUUGGCAUAGUAGCCAAAGUGCCAACCAUUCCAGUAUUGAAGUCCAAAAAGGUCUUCUUGGAAUCACAGGUCCGGGCCCGACAGAACCAAAGGAACAACAAAGAGAAACCCGGAUUCCUCAUUUCAUUUCAUCAGUGAUGAAAGUAAAAUAAACAUAGAUGAGCAGCAAGUUGGCAUAGUAGCCAAAGUGCCAACCAUUCCAGUAUUGAAGUCCAAAAAGGUCUUCUUGGAAUCACAGGUCCGGGCCCGACAGAACCAAAGGAGCAACAAAGAGAAACCCGGAUUCCUCAUUUCAUUUCAUCAGUGAUGAAAGUAAAAUAAACAUAGAUGAGCAGCAAGUUGGCAUGGUACCCAAAGUGCCAACCAUUCCAGUAUUGAAGUCCAAAAAGGUCUUCUUGGAAUCACAGGUCCUGGCCCGACAGAACCAAAGGAGCAACAAAGAGAAACCCGGAUUCCUCAUUUCAUUUCAUCAGUGAUGAAAGUAAAAUAAACAUAGAUGAGCAGCAAGUUGGCAUGGUAGCCAAAGUGCCAACCAUUCCAGUUUUGAAGUCCAAAAAGGUCUUCUUGGAAUCACAGGUCCUGGCCCGACAGAACCAAAGGAGCAACAAAGAGAAACCCGGAUUCCUCAUUUCAUUUCAUCAGUGAUGAAAGUAAAAUAAACAUAGAUGAGCAGCAAGUUGGCAUGGUAGCCAAAGUGCCAACCAUUCCAGUAUUGAAGUCCAAAAAGGUCUUCUUGGAAUCACAGGUCCGGGCCCGACAGAACCAAAGGAGCAACAAAGAGAAACCCGGAUUCCUCAUUUCAUUUCAUCAGUGAUGAAAGUAA
This is a long non-coding RNA of Monodelphis domestica (gray short-tailed opossum), 1525 nucleotides long. RefSeq lists it as uncharacterized. Lineage: Eukaryota; Metazoa; Chordata; Mammalia; Didelphimorphia; Didelphidae. The record is from RefSeq and is a predicted model, not a curated record.